RNAcentral lists this ribosomal RNA (1595 nucleotides) under Escherichia coli. RNAcentral's name for it is "bacterial LSU rRNA". It matches the Rfam family "Bacterial large subunit ribosomal RNA", at positions 1 to 1767 of the family's 2925-position model. The record is from RNAcentral. Lineage: Bacteria; Pseudomonadati; Pseudomonadota; Gammaproteobacteria; Enterobacterales; Enterobacteriaceae.
GGGUUGUGAGGUUAAGCGACUAAGCGUACACGGUGGAUGCCCUGGCAGUCAGAGGCGAUGAAGGACGUGCUAAUCUGCGAUAAGCGUCGGUAAGGUGAUAUGAACCGUUAUAACCGGCGAUUUCCGAAUGGGGAAACCCAGUGUGAUUCGUCACACUAUCAUUAACUGAAUCCAUAGGUUAAUGAGGCGAACCGGGGGAACUGAAACAUCUAAGUACCCCGAGGAAAAGAAAUCAACCGAGAUUCCCCCAGUAGCGGCGAGCGAACGGGGAGCAGCCCAGAGCCUGAAUCAGUGUGUGUGUUAGUGGAAGCGUCUGGAAAGGCGCGCGAUACAGGGUGACAGCCCCGUACACAAAAAUGCACAUGCUGUGAGCUCGAUGAGUAGGGCGGGACACGUGGUAUCCUGUCUGAAUAUGGGGGGACCAUCCUCCAAGGCUAAAUACUCCUGACUGACCGAUAGUGAACCAGUACCGUGAGGGAAAGGCGAAAAGAACCCCGGCGAGGGGAGUGAAAAAGAACCUGAAACCGUGUACGUACAAGCAGUGGGAGCACGCUUAGGCGUGUGACUGCGUACCUUUUGUAUAAUGGGUCAGCGACUUAUAUUCUGUAGCAAGGUUAACCGAAUAGGGGAGCCGAAGGGAAACCGAGUCUUAACUGGGCGUUAAGUUGCAGGGUAUAGACCCGAAACCCGGUGAUCUAGCCAUGGGCAGGUUGAAGGUUGGGUAACACUAACUGGAGGACCGAACCGACUAAUGUUGAAAAAUUAGCGGAUGACUUGUGGCUGGGGGUGAAAGGCCAAUCAAACCGGGAGAUAGCUGGUUCUCCCCGAAAGCUAUUUAGGUAGCGCCUCGUGAAUUCAUCUCCGCCAGCUAAGGUCCCAAAGUCAUGGUUAAGUGGGAAACGAUGUGGGAAGGCCCAGACAGCCAGGAUGUUGGCUUAGAAGCAGCCAUCAUUUAAAGAAAGCGUAAUAGCUCACUGGUCGAGUCGGCCUGCGCGGAAGAUGUAACGGGGCUAAACCAUGCACCGAAGCUGCGGCAGCGACGCUUAUGCGUUGUUGGGUAGGGGAGCGUUCUGUAAGCCUGUGAAGGUGUACUGUGAGGUAUGCUGGAGGUAUCAGAAGUGCGAAUGCUGACAUAAGUAACGAUAAAGCGGGUGAAAAGCCCGCUCGCCGGAAGACCAAGGGUUCCUGUCCAACGUUAAUCGGGGCAGGGUGAGUCGACCCCUAAGGCGAGGCCGAAAGGCGUAGUCGAUGGGAAACAGGUUAAUAUUCCUGUACUUGGUGUUACUGCGAAGGGGGGACGGAGAAGGCUAUGUUGGCCGGGCGACGGUUGUCCCGGUUUAAGCGUGUAGGCUGGUUUUCCAGGCAAAUCCGGAAAAUCAAGGCUGAGGCGUGAUGACGAGGCACUACGGUGCUGAAGCAACAAAUGCCCUGCUUCCAGGAAAAGCCUCUAAGCAUCAGGUAACAUCAAAUCGUACCCCAAACCGACACAGGUGGUCAGGUAGAGAAUACCAAGGCGCUUGAGAGAACUCGGGUGAAGGAACUAGGCAAAAUGGUGCCGUAACUUCGGGAGAAGGCACGCUGAUAUGUAGGUGAAG